UACGGAGGAUCCAAGCGUUAUCCGGAUUUAUUGGGUUUAAAGGGUGCGUAGGCGGAAUGGUAAGUCAGCGGUGAAAUCCUUCAGCUUAACUGAAGAACUGCCGUUGAUACUGCCAAUCUUGAGUACGGUUGAAGUGGGCGGAAUGUAGCAUGUAGCGGUGAAAUGCUUAGAUAUGCUACAGAACACCGAUUGCGAAGGCAGCUCACUAAGCCGCAACUGACGCUGAGGCACGAAAGCGUGGGGAGCAAACAGG
RNAcentral lists this ribosomal RNA (253 nucleotides) under uncultured bacterium. Its description in RNAcentral is "partial 16S ribosomal RNA". It matches the Rfam family "Bacterial small subunit ribosomal RNA", at positions 524 to 776 of the family's 1533-position model. The record is from RNAcentral.